GCAAGUCGAACGAAGACACAAGGAAAGAGUUCGGCAAUUGAAUUGUGACUAGUGGCGGACGGGUGAGUAAUGCAUGAGCAACCUGCCCCGGAGUGGGGGACGAACAGUUGGAAACGACUGCUAAUACCGCAUGAAGUUGCGGAAGGCAUCUUCCUGCAACCAAAGAUUUAUCGCUCUGGGAUGGGCUCAUGUCUGAUUAGAUAGUUGGCGGGGCAACGGCCCACCAAGUCUGCGAUCAGUAGCCGGACUGAGAGGUUGAACGGCCACAUUGGGACUGAGAUACGGCCCAGACUCCUACGGGAGGCAGCAGUGGGGAAUAUUGGGCAAUGGGCGCAAGCCUGACCCAAGCAACGCCGCGUGAAGGAAGAAGGCUUUCGGGUUGUAAACUUCUUUUAUCAGGGACGAAGGAUGUGACGGUACCUGAUGAAUAAGCCACGGCUAACUACGUGCCAGCAGCUGC
RNAcentral lists this ribosomal RNA (460 nucleotides) under uncultured bacterium. Its description in RNAcentral is "bacterial SSU rRNA". It matches the Rfam family "Bacterial small subunit ribosomal RNA", at positions 57 to 518 of the family's 1533-position model. The record is from RNAcentral.